CCUGUUCAUCCUUCUUCUUUCCUUUUUUUGAGCCUCUCUAACAUUGCAAGAUCCUCCGAAAAGACCUCCCUCUUCAUCAUCCAUUCCUGCUACUCAUGGACCUUAACACUGAGAUGAUUUUCUCAUAUAUCAGUAUCUCCUUACCAUAUAGCAGCAUAGUCACCAAUGGAUCAAAACUCUUGGAUAGCGAACACAACAGCAGUAAGCUCUUAUCUUUCUCUUCAAGCUCCACCUCAAUAUUGAGAAAAAUCCAUGCUCAUUCGGUCAAACCACUGAAUAUGUCCUACAACAUCCUCAUCCUUCUGU
Molecule: long non-coding RNA, 306 nt
Filed under: Elaeis guineensis (African oil palm)
Lineage: Eukaryota; Viridiplantae; Streptophyta; Magnoliopsida; Arecales; Arecaceae
Description: long non-coding RNA (EGUI_LNC037516)
Source: RNAcentral